This is a long non-coding RNA of Zalophus californianus (California sea lion), 2641 nucleotides long. RefSeq lists it as uncharacterized. The transcript is spliced from 3 exons. The record is from RefSeq and is a predicted model, not a curated record. Lineage: Eukaryota; Metazoa; Chordata; Mammalia; Carnivora; Otariidae.
GCCAAGAAAUAGUCCCGGAAAUACUCAGUGGUCUGCCCUGGGGCACACACGCAGCAUUAAUAAGUAGGCGUGAGCAAGCCCAGACUAGAAGGCCAGACAUUCUGACCCUGGUCGUCAGGCACAUCACCCCUCACGGUUCUCAGAAACGCCAUUGCUUACAGCAAUAAUCUGGUGCUGCCAGGUGAUCCACACAGGACCAGAAUCGGACUUCAGAAGGAAGGUUACAGGUGGUUGGAGCUGAAAGUCAACCAAACCGAGCAUGAGUUGGCAGGACAACUUGAGUGAAGAAAGAGCCACAGCUCUGAGCACACAAGAAGCUUCAGGGGACAAGAGAGAUGUCUUCCAUUUAAAUAAUCCCAGCUACUUAAAUGAUCGGCUACAAAAACCUGGAGUGGGAAGAAAGGCACAAGUUUAAGGUAACUGAUGGAAAACAGUGAGUAGAAAGGAUGUGUGGGUCAGCUGCUCCUCUUCUCCUCUCUCAACUUUGUGUGUAUUUUGGCAGUGUUUGUCUUAGGUGGUGGCUAGAGAAGUCUUCUUAAGAAACCAAGUCAUGUCCUGGGAUGGCAGUAGUUGGGAAGUCCAGAGUAGAACCUUACUCACUUUGGCAUGGGGGUGAGAGAGGGAAGUCUUCCUACCUGUCAAUUGACAUAGCCUGCACAUCCAGAUCAUGUAAUCAGCAUUUUCAUUCUGGAAAGAGACUGGUGAUAGAAAAGUACCCCAGUAAUUAAUCUGGCUCCUCAUAUUCAAAAGCCCAAAAGGACAAGCGAGGGCCAUAAGAUAGUUGCACAAAACCAGCAGGACCAAAAUGAAUAAGAAUUCACCCUAGGAGAAACAGAAAUAGUUCAGGGAACAGCAGUGAACUUUUUCAAAAGUUCAAAUUAAUAUUCUCAGAGAAAUUUGAGGAGGCAGUGCAUCUAUAAAAUAUAAAUAGAUGACUCUUAAAAAAAGAACAAACCCAUAUGGGGUGCCUGGCUGGCUCAGUCAGACGAGCAUGUGACUCUUGAUCUCAGGGUCAUGAGUUUGAGCCCCACACUGAGUGUAGAGAUUACUUAAAAAUAAAAUCUUAAAAAAAAGCCCAAAUAAUUAAUAAGUGUUAGAAAUAUAAUUCUAAAAUGGAAAACUCAACAGAAAGGCUAGAGGAAAAAGUCAAUGAAAUCUCUCAGAAUGUAGAACAAGAGGACAAAAAGAGAAAAAUUGAAAGACAGAGAGGACUAACAAACAAGAGCCAACAUACAUCUAAUAGGAGCUUCAGAUUGAGAGUAGAGAAAAAGUAGAUCUCCCAGAGCUAAAGAAAGAUCCACGUCCUCAAAUAGAAAGGUCUCAUCCUGUGCUAAUCCAUAUGAAUGAUAGCCAUAUCUUGGAGAAACUUCACAAAUCCAAAGACAAAAGACUCCUAAAAAGAUUCCAAAAAGAAAAAAAAAUCAGAGGUUGAGAAUCAGCAUCACACUUCUUAACAGUUACACUAUAUACUAGAACACAAGGGAAUAAUGACUUUAAAAUUUCUGAGGGACAAUGAUUUUGAGUCUAGAAUUCUAUAGCCAGCCAAAUUAGCAUUUAAGUGGGGGAGCAAAAUAUUCUUUUUUUUUUUUUUACUUCCACUACUUAAUUUUAUUUUAUUUUUUUUAACUCAGUCCUUCCAAGGACUGAGGAAAUUUAUCACUUACCACUCCUAAAAGAGCUGCUUAAGGAUGUACUACAGGAAAACGAAAUAAGAAUCUAAGGAAGAGGAAGAUAAUCAAGUUGCAUGAGAGGGACAAUCAAAGGAAAUCCUAGAAUGCAAUAAGCUUAAAAAGGAAAUGGUGUGAAGAAACCGGAUUAUUUUAGAGAGUAGAUCAAGUAUUACAUAGUAUUACAUCAAAAAAAAAACCAUAGUAUUACAUCAAAAAAACCACAGUACAUUCCAUUUUUCCUUCAAGAGCUACAAGUGUAGUGGCAUCACCUUCUCCACUGGGUCCACACUAUUUGAUACUGCCAUGAGUAUUUUUUAUAUUAUCAACACACUAGAGAUAAUUCUUUUUUUUUUAAAGAUUUUAUUUAUUUAUUUGACAGAGAGAGAGAGAUAGCAAGGGCAGGAACACAAGCAGGGGGAGUGGGAGAGGGAGAAGCAGGCUUCCCGCUGAGCAGGGAGCCGGAUGAGGGACUCCAUAUCAGGACCGGGGAAUCACGAUCCCUGCGGAAAGCAGAUGCUUAGCGACUGAGCCACCCAGGCGCCCCCUCUUCUUUGGUUUUUAAUGUAGAGAAUUAAUUUAUAGACAAUGUAUGGAGAACUUGAUUAACAUUAGAGAACAGAAUAUAAAUGUUAUAAACUCUGCCGGUGAGAAGUAGGGCCUGUUGAGAGGUGUGAGUGGAGAGGACAGAAAGACAAAGGGAAGUAAGUGAAGGGUGUUGUCUUUUGCCUUACCCAACAGAAAGUUAAGAGAUACUGUGUGUGGGGUUGGGGAGCUGCGCAGGGCAAGUAGGGGCGAGGGGAGUUUGGGAAGGGUAAGACACUGGGCCCAGGAGCAGAGGGAUGAGGGGUAACUGGGCUGGGAUGUUCAGUGAGGCCGGCGAGGGAUGGCAGGGAACGUGUGCGAAAGUGGGGUUGAGCAAAAGAGGCUGAGCGGAAGUAGGUGAGGUAUGGGCGGAGCAUAGCAGGUUAUUG